CGACUCUACCGCAACCGCCAGGUAACCCCAACUCCCAAACUCUAAAACCCAACAAGGCCAAAUUCUAUGACUUCUCCCAAUCACCCAGCGGAUACAGCCACCGCCAUUACGGUGCAACCGUCAUCGCCGAGAUUCCUGAUCAGCGGAUCCUCCAACCCCGGUGACCAACGUAAGAUCGGGAUAGCCGUCGAUCUUAGCGACGAAAGCGCCUUUGCCGUCAAAUGGGCCGUCCAUAACUAUCUGCGUCCCGGUGACUCCGUCAUCCUCCUCCACGUCCGACCCACCGGUGUCCUCUAUGGCGCCGACUGGGGUGCCAUCGACCUCUCCCGCCACGACGAGCUUUCCCAGCAGAAGCUCGAGCACGACUUCGACGCCUUCACCGUCACCAAGGCCAACGACCUCGCCCAGCCCUUCGUCCACGCCCAAAUCCCCUUCAAGAUUCACAUCGUCAAGGACCACGACAUGAAGGAGCGCCUCUGUCUCGAGGUCGAGCGCCUCGGCCUCAGCACCGUCAUCAUGGGUAGUCAAGGUUUCGGCGCCUCACGCCGCGCCACCAAGGGCAGGCUCGGUAGUGUCAGCGAUUAUUGCGUGCACCACUGCGUCUGUCCCGUCGUCGUUGUCCGGUUCCCGGACGAGAAGGAUGGGGCCGAGACAAAUCACGGUCUAGUAGCAAAGGCUUGUGUGGACGAUGAGCUGGAGUACCAUAAUGCAUUGGAUAAGCAAACUGAUGUGGACAAAGCCUCGUGAAUAGAUAUGGUGGGGAUGCUAAUGUGUUCCUCGGAAGAUGUUUGACUGUUGAAACUUGAAAUACUCUUGCUUGGUGUGUAGUCUUGUCUUGUGAAAAAGUUGGUCUUCCAGAAUGAUAGGCUGCACUCUAUUCUUGUUAUAUAGAAUUUUCCUUUUGGAGCCCUUUUGCUGGUUACCUCAUGCUUUCAGUUUUACAACAUCGAGAAGAAAAUAUAAUUUUGAUAUGGUUGUACUUGUCGCUGCUCCUUUUUGAACAAAUAGCAAGAUGUGGAGACAAACUUCCUUAUGGUGGUAAUAUUUGAUGCAAUUUCAUGGGAAAAGAAAGAGGUUUUCAUAAACUGUUACAAAUACUCCAAGCAGUUCAAACAUUUAGGACAUGUUUUGUUCACGGAAUGACAAUUCCUAGGAAUGGAAUAGCCAUUCUUAUUCCUUAGUUUGGUUGUAACAUUAGAAUAGAGCAUAGAAUAUAUGUUAUUACUUUGUUUGGUAUACAAUUUGGUGGAGAAUGGAAUCAUAUUGUAACCAAGUUUUGUACUUAUAAAAAUACCCUUGAGGGAAAAGAUCAGGAAUAUGCCUACAGUGGCAAUGAUAAAUGUCACAUAAAUUUGGCUUAUUCCAUUUAAGGUAAAUAUGAAAAGUUAAAUGUUGUAGAGACUUGUA
RNA transcript from Juglans regia (Persian walnut), 1407 nucleotides. It is a transcript of the gene named universal stress protein PHOS32-like, with no coding region annotated. The record is from RefSeq and is a predicted model, not a curated record. NCBI's taxonomy places the organism in Eukaryota, Viridiplantae, Streptophyta, Magnoliopsida, Fagales, Juglandaceae. The transcript has 3 exons.